Molecule: long non-coding RNA, 325 nt
Filed under: Elaeis guineensis (African oil palm)
Lineage: Eukaryota; Viridiplantae; Streptophyta; Magnoliopsida; Arecales; Arecaceae
Description: long non-coding RNA (EGUI_LNC028255)
Source: RNAcentral
CAUGCCUUGGGGUAAUUGCCUACUGAUCAUGAAUGAAAAAAUAUGAGAGUCGAGCUAGAUCGAUCGAUUCUAUCUCCAUCAUAUGUUGUGCUCCUCCUGAUUUAAGAUCUGCUUGAGAUAUCAUCAUAUGGAAAUAGGAAGGUCACCCUACGAUAUCGCCUCUCAUCCUCUCAAGUCUCGUAUCUCAUGCUCGAUCUACCUCCACUUGGAGCUCCACCUCACUCUGGGCUCCUCUUGACUUCUGAAGCUCCAUCUCGUACUGGACUCUCUGUCAGAUAGCAAUAUCCUUUUAUUAUCUUUUUUUUCUUCAGAAUAAUCCUAUCGC